Molecule: ribosomal RNA, 253 nt
Filed under: uncultured bacterium
Lineage: Bacteria
Description: partial 16S ribosomal RNA
Rfam family: Bacterial small subunit ribosomal RNA
Source: RNAcentral
GACGUAGGGCGCGAGCGUUGUCCGGAUUUAUUGGGCGUAAAGAGCUCGUAGGCGGCUUGUCGCGUCGACUGUGAAAACUUGGGGCUCAACCCCAAGCUUGCAGUCGAUACGGGCAGGCUAGAGUUCGGUAGGGGAGACUGGAAUUCCUGGUGUAGCGGUGAAAUGCGCAGAUAUCAGGAGGAACACCGAUGGCGAAGGCAGGUCUCUGGGCCGAUACUGACGCUGAGGCGCGAAAGCUAGGGGAGCAAACGGG